Molecule: long non-coding RNA, 136 nt
Organism: Bombus impatiens (common eastern bumble bee)
Lineage: Eukaryota; Metazoa; Arthropoda; Insecta; Hymenoptera; Apidae
Exons: 3
Source: RefSeq, a predicted model, not a curated record
UCUAGAUCAAGUUCAUCGUCAUUUGAGCUAAUUUCACUUCCGGAAACCAUUUUUUUAGAACAUCUAAACUAUAAUACUUUUGCCAUGAUCGUCGAAUCCGAACUAACGUCGGUGACAUUGAUAGAAUCCUAGUUUA